Long non-coding RNA from Xiphophorus couchianus (Monterrey platyfish), 5310 nucleotides. RefSeq lists it as uncharacterized. The record is from RefSeq and is a predicted model, not a curated record. Lineage: Eukaryota; Metazoa; Chordata; Actinopteri; Cyprinodontiformes; Poeciliidae. The transcript is spliced from 3 exons.
GAAGAGAGAAAUGACAGAUUUCAUGUUGUUUGAUGAUUAAGCCUAAUGCAGCUUUUUGUUCAGUAGCAUCGUGCUUUCUUUUGUUUUACUGCCUCCUUUUCAAGAAGUUGCCCAGAAAUACCAUGUACCUGAAGGUAGACCGCUCACCACCGAUUGUCCCUGUACCACUAACCAAAGAGGAGGGGGGAGACCAGCAGCAGAACGAGUAUCUGCUGAGCACCACAGAAAAUGCAGAAAAUACUGCAGACCAUCACUUCAUUAGACUUUUCUAAUUUUUUUCCACUCUACUUUCCUCAAAUAUUACAUCCUUUUUGCCUAUCAAUGUCUUCAACAUCGUCAUCAUCACAUCCCUUACAUACCAAUCGCACAUGCAUUAACACAUACACAUGUACACACAAAAACGUAUACCUUCCCCUCCCCACUUAUCUCUGCCUCUUUCUCUGGUGCAGAGCUAAUGUGCUGUGUCGGUCUAUUGAGAAAAGCCUGCAGCACUGUGCAGCACACUACAGUAUGAGCCUGUUCCAAUAUCACAGGAGCACACACUUACACUCUAUUGGGCUAUAUAGCCUUUUCAGUUUGAUACCCUCAACCACCACAUUAACUAGUGUCCACUGUUGACCAGACUGUGAUUCAUAUGUAAGGAGGAAAUGACUUAUUCUUGGUACUGCAAUCAAACAUGUUUUAAAGCAAGCUGAGAGGGGUAACGUCGAAGCCAAAAAUAAUCUUUGUCAGUGGUCGUUAAUAAAACAUGUCAGUGUGGGAUUAGUUUUUGCUAUCUGCCCGGUUUUUCCAACGUGGUGAGGAAGGUUGUUGCUGUUAUUUCCCUGACUCUCCAAAGAACGUAUUCACAGUCCCACAGUAGCUUGCCUGUGUAAGGGCAAGCCAGCUUCAUAGGUGGACUGGCCAUCUGGAGUAAUUGGCAAUGCCAUGUUGGCCAUCGCAAUUCACGGCUCAGGGCUGUUAUAACUUAAACCAAACAAAUCUAAAUAUUUUUUGUCGACCUGAUUUUCUUGUAGGAUAGUUGGCUAAUCCAAUGAAAUCUCUUCUCCUCUCUCCUUUUACCAAAGUUACCAGAUUUUGCCAUUUAAACUGAGGGUUAAAAGUGACAUAAUUAAAUAAUUAAUGAAAUGUCAUUAAAAAUUUAAGGAAUUUAUUGUGUAUAUAUAAUUAAGUUGUAUAGUAUUCCAUUAAAUUAUUAAAGUUGAAAGUUAAAACACAUGCUAUGUAUUAAUAAUUAAAUGUGCAUUUAUUUGUUUCAUGGUUCCUGUCCCUGCAGUUCCACCAUGAUUUAUUUUAUCUGUCAAACUCAUCCAUCAAAGUUGAGGGGCAGGGUUAAUUGAUGAAAAUGUUUAUUUAUUUUGUAUUACUUUUAUUUUUAGUUAACCAAAAUAAAGCCAAUUCUUUGAGGACUUUGAGACGGUUAUCCAUCCCUUCAUUACCAUUCAGCUGAAUUACUGUAAUGGACUUAAAAGAAGAAAAGCAAAACUAGAGUUCUUAAUAAGUUCAUAAAGAAAGCUAGAGUCUGGAGGAUGCCAGGGAUGAAGGAAGACCCAAAGAGCAUUGGCCAAAGAAGCUUGGCGCCUGAAGUACUGCGGCGCAGAAGAAGGGUCCUUAAGGUUUCCGUUGAGACCUGGGGAUGUUGUAAAGGCUCUGGAGCUGGGGAAGACGGCCCAUGUAGAGGAGCAGAGGACCACUUAGAGGCACUGAGGACACAUGUAGAGCACUGAAUCAGGCACUGGAGACAGAUGAGGGUCGUCCUCGUCCCCCUCAGAGAAUGGAGACUAAGGUCCUCAGCCAAGCUCAGGAGGCUGGAGAUCACAGUGGAGCGAGCGGUGCAGCCUGGAACCCUGGAGCAAUCUCAGCAGAUGCUGCCGCUAGAGCUGGCAAAGGAGAGGCUGUGGAGACAUUUCCUGUGGAUGCAUCAGACCAACCCUCUGGAGAAACUGUGGAGGCAUCAGGCUGACUCGCAGGAGAAGAUGUGGAGGUUUCCUUGCGGCGGUGGUGUCUGCGAUGAGAGGACAACAGAAUCGGGAAAGCAGAGGUAGGAGACAUAGGUGGAGUCUGGGAAGGAGUAUCAGAUGAAAAUAUCUGAGAUGAUUGAUGAUGGAAGGUGAGGAGCCCAUUUGUGUAGCACAAAAUUGCAGUGGGGUGGAAUCUGACUUGGAGUGGAGGUACUCUUUAAUAGUGUGUAAAAAGUUAAUAAAAAUCUCUUCCGAAAAGGGAUCUGCUGGGUCCUGUGGGCUUGUUUCUUCUAUAAUGUUGAGUGGUUUAUUGGUGGACCCAAAUACAGAUAGGCUGAGAUAUCAAGUAGAUGAUGCAGGUUUUAAUGAAAAAAAGAUGGUGAAACAACAAAACUUAUAGCCAUCCAGGUGAACACAAUAUCAGGAACCAGGAACACAAGGAGCACGACGAGGGGAAUAGACGGGGUACACCGGGUGAACCAGCAAGGAGCGUGAGCAGGAGAAAGGUUUAGAUACUGGUGAGCUAACAGGUUGCUGGUGUGAGGGGAGACAGAGAAACAGGAAGUGACACGGGGCAAGGGAAGGCAUACUGGGGACUAGGAAAUGAAUCUGUCAUAAAAGAAUAACUGAACAUAACGAACAGCAAAACUAGGAUAACUAAGAGAGGACUAGACACAAGAAAUAAACAAUAAACUAAAAUCAUAGUUUUUUGGAAUGGGGAACUUUUAUAAUGGUUUCAUUCCAGGGGAAGCUGACCUUAUAGACCCCCCGGUACAAAGAGCAGCGUUUCUCAAUUUUGGUUCUCAGGCACCUUAAUAUUUUAUUUAGAUGUAUUUCUGUUCCAGAACACCUGAUUCAAAUGGUUGCAUAACAUCUUCUAUACUGCAGCAGCUUGUUAUUCACUCAUAUAUUUAUGUCAGGUGUGUGGCGGGAAACACCUAAAACGUGAAGUGCAGUGGUCCCCGAGGUCUGGGAUUAAGAAACAUUGGGUUAGAAGCAAGAAAGGGGACUAACAGAUCCAGUUGACUCCCAAGAGGGUACAGGCAUUCAACAAGGCCCUGGCUAAUGGUGUGAUUUUGGCCCAAAAUGGGGAACUCCUUUGCAACCAAAAUCUUAGCAUUAAAACACGAUGUUGUUUCAGUUCAGUUAGUUUCUCCUGCUCCUCUACAGUCAUGUCCUUUCCAAAAACUGAUGAUGAUCUAAAUGGGCCCCUAAUCCAGUCAAGGCAUUCAGUGAAGGAUGAAGACAAAUAAAAUGACAACUUUUCUUUUAGAAUCUUCAGAUGUUUAACUAUUAUCUCACAGUGCAGCAGUGUUGGCAUCUUGCUGUUUCUCUGUGAGUGGAAACAUCUCAAGGUUAGUCCUUUGGACAUGUCAUGUUAUUGUCAGAAAUCCAUUUUCAAACAGAAUGCACUUAUUUUAUCUGUGCUUGACAGCAAGUUCUUAUGUGUUCAGUUCAUUCAGAUGGUGAAAUAUAUCUGCCAUACCAACCUUUAACCCCACCCCUCAUUAGCAUUUGAAUAUUCAGACCUGUCAUUUGUAAAAAAAAAAAAAAAACUCUUUAAAUGUUCGUCACGUAGCUCAUACUUGCGGUGCUUCACCUUGCCCCGCAACAACCACAGACCUCCAUAUGGAGCAAGAAGGCUUUAUGCUCUUCUCCCAUUUCAUCACACAAGGAUGCAAAUGUGCACAUUUUCACAGAUUGGAUCUUAACAAAGUUCACAAUGUGUACAACAUCAACUAUCUAAAUGCCACUCUGUAUUUCAAAAUCAAAAUUUUUUGUUGCUGCUACUCCAUAAGGUUAAAACUAACAGCCAUAAUAACACUGGUGUGAUAUAAGCUAAUUACAAACAACACUAAUGAUAGUAAGUAUGUUACAUACAUAGAGUAGCUUUGGAAUGACAUGUUGAUAUGGUGGGGACAUAUUAAGUUAAGUAUUGUCAUUUUAGAUGGACAAUACUUAUUUCACGGAAGGUUGUUUAAGAUGCGCUGAAUGGCUGGUGUAAAGUCUCUAUAGAAAACAACUGCAGACCCGACUGCAGAUCACUGUGUAUGGCAGGCCAUUUGAACAUAAAUUCAGUUUUACUGCAUUUACGUUCAAGACAUCUGAAAUUGGGUUAUGAGUAGACAUAUUAGGAAAUUAAGAUAUAUGUGAAUAUAUUUUUACUAGACAAAAUACCUAUUUGUGAUAUCUCUAAAAACAUUCUGACUAGUUGAAAUGACAUCAGAUUUACCACUGGGUUAUAUGGAGCCUUCAAUUCAAGAUAUGUACAAUGAAUUACUCAAUCUCAAAACUAAUAUUUCUGAUAUGUACAAUAAUUUUAUAACUAGUAAUAAAGCUGACAAACUUGGUAUUAGCAACAAUCUUACCACUCCUGGAUUAUGGACAUGUUUUGUAUAUGAAUGCUUGGACCAAAUGGCUUCAAUCCUUGAAUACUGUCUAUCAUUGUGCUUUAAGGUUUGUAACAGGUAGCAGAUGUUUUACACAACAUCAUUGUGAGUUGCAUGGGCUCCUUUAAGCGUACGGAAAUAUCAGUUACUUGAUGAUAUGAAAGUCAUCAAGUGUAGAUUUAUAAAAAUACUCGGCUUGGCUCCAGUUUAUUUAAAUCCUCUCCUACAACAAACUGUUACUGCCCAUUCUUUAUGCUCCAGCAACAUUUCCCUUACAUGUUCCAUGUGUUCGAAGAAGAAAAAGGGAAGCAAACAAUCAGUUCCAGUUUGAAUUUAAUAUCUCAGCUCUUAUUUCAUUGUACUUUUUUUAAGCAGUUCUUAAAAACAUGCAAAAUAUUCAUAUCAAUUAGUGCCAUUGCUUUUAAACUGUUUUGUAAUUUUCUUUUAAAUUUGUGCAUAUGUUUUAAUUUAUUUUACUUUUGGGUAACCAGGUUGUUGUGCAUAGCAGGUGUCUCUCACUCUUAAAAGGAGAUCUAGAUGUCAGUGUGGUUUUACCUAGCUAAAUAAAUUUAACAGAAAAUUCGAUUUUUUUUAUUUUUAUUUUUUUCAUUACGGCUUGUCAGGCAAAAGCGAAUUUAUGUUAAACUGGCCUGCCAUACUCUGAGGCUUCAUAGAAUUGUAUGGAGGAAAAUGACUCCAGAGCAGGCAGCACCCUCUCCUGUACGGUUAGUUGAAUUACCUUUAGGUCUCAGUUCUGCUCCAUCUGUGAGACUGCUGGUGCAAAAUAAGAGAAUCGAUGAAUUCAACGAGAAACAUGGCUUAAUGAUCCUCCAGUGCAUAAUCAAAAUCAAAAAGUCAUUUUUUAUUUUUCAAAAGUUCUGUGUCAUGGCAAAAUGGUGACAUGCAAGCAUUUUUACAAAAAUAAUAUAAGGAGUAAUUAAAGUGGAUGGAAUAAAAAA